This 419-nucleotide ribosomal RNA is filed under the name bacterium. RNAcentral describes it as "partial 16S ribosomal RNA". It matches the Rfam family "Bacterial small subunit ribosomal RNA", at positions 355 to 776 of the family's 1533-position model. The record is from RNAcentral.
UGGGGGAUAUUGCACAAUGGGCGAAAGCCUGAUGCAGCGACGCCGCGUGGGGGAUGAAGGCCUUCGGGUUGUAAACUUCUUUUGCUCUGAACAAGGCAUGCUAAUGGGUGUGUUGAGUGUAGGGGUUGAUUAGCGCCGGCUAACUACGUGCCAGCAGCCGCGGUAAUACGUAGGGCGCGAGCGUUGUCCGGAAUUAUUGGGCGUAAAGGGCUCGUAGGUGGCUGGUUGCGUCUGUCGUGAAAGCUCAUGGCUUAACUGUGGGUUUGCGGUGGGUACGGGCUGGCUUGAGUGCAGUAGGGGAGGCUGGAAUUCCUGGUGUAGCGGUGGAAUGCGCAGAUAUCAGGAGGAAUACCGGUGGCGAAGGCGGGUCUCUGGGCUGUUACUGACACUGAGGAGCGAAAGCAUGGGGAGCGAACAGG